Molecule: non-coding RNA, 151 nt
Organism: Homo sapiens (human)
Lineage: Eukaryota; Metazoa; Chordata; Mammalia; Primates; Hominidae
Rfam family: Metazoan signal recognition particle RNA
About the family: The signal recognition particle (SRP) is a universally conserved ribonucleoprotein.
Source: Rfam
GCCGGGCGUGGUGGCGGGCGCCUGUAGUCCCAGGUACUUGGGAGGCUGAGGCAGGAGAAUUGCUUGAACCCGGGAGGUGGAGGUUGCAGUGAGCCAAGGUCUUGCCACUGCAGCACUCCAGCCUGGGCGACAGAGCGAGACUCUGUCUCAG